UACGUGGGGUGCGAGCGUUGUUCGGAAUUACUGGGCGUAAAGCGCGUGUAGGCGGUUCGCUAAGUUCGAUGUGAAAGCCCUGGGCUUAACCCAGGAACUGCAUUGAAAACUGGCGGACUUGAGUCCGGGAGAGGGUCGCGGAAUUCCUGGUGUAGAGGUGAAAUUCGUAGAUAUCAGGAGGAACACCGGUGGCGAAGGCGGCGACCUGGACCGGUACUGACGCUGAGGUACGAAAGCGUGGGGAGCAAACAGG
Molecule: ribosomal RNA, 253 nt
Filed under: uncultured bacterium
Lineage: Bacteria
Description: partial 16S ribosomal RNA
Rfam family: Bacterial small subunit ribosomal RNA
Source: RNAcentral